Molecule: ribosomal RNA, 253 nt
Filed under: uncultured bacterium
Lineage: Bacteria
Description: partial 16S ribosomal RNA
Rfam family: Bacterial small subunit ribosomal RNA
Source: RNAcentral
UACGAAGGGGGCUAGCGUUGCUCGGAAUCACUGGGCGUAAAGGGCGCGUAGGCGGCUUAUCAAGUCGGGGGUGAAAGCCCGUGGCUCAACCACGGAAUGGCCUUCGAUACUGGUAGGCUUGAGACCGGAAGAGGACAGCGGAACUGCGAGUGUAGAGGUGAAAUUCGUAGAUAUUCGCAAGAACACCAGUGGCGAAGGCGGCUCACUGGCCCGAUACUGACGCUGAGGCACGAAAGCGUGGGGAGCAAACAGG